UUAGGUGCAAUAAUUGCUUAAUAGAUAAACAGGUGUAAUUCCUGUACUGUCCCGCAGCUGUAAGGCGGAGCAGAUUUUUUUAUGUCACUGGGUAACCGGGAAGGCAAAAUCUGCAUUGAAGCUAAGCCAGAAGAACUGCCUAAAAUAA
Molecule: non-coding RNA, 148 nt
Filed under: Phascolarctobacterium succinatutens
Lineage: Bacteria; Bacillati; Bacillota; Negativicutes; Acidaminococcales; Acidaminococcaceae
Source: RNAcentral